Molecule: ribosomal RNA, 433 nt
Filed under: uncultured bacterium
Lineage: Bacteria
Description: bacterial SSU rRNA
Rfam family: Bacterial small subunit ribosomal RNA
Source: RNAcentral
GGGCCCGCACAAGCGGUGGAGUAUGUGGUUUAAUUCGAUGCAACGCGAAGAACCUUACCAGGGCUUGACAUCCUGCGAACCUCUGGGAAACCGGAGGGUGCCUUCGGGAACGCAGUGACAGGUGGUGCAUGGCUGUCGUCAGCUCGUGUCGUGAGAUGUUGGGUUAAGUCCCGCAACAAGCGCAACCCUUAUCCUUGUUUGCCAGCGAGUAAUGUCGGGAACUCCAGGGAGACUGCCGGUGAUAAACCGGAGGAAGGUGUGGAUGACGUCAAGUCAUCAUGCCCCUUACAUCCUGGGCUACACACGUACUACAAUGCUACGGACAAAGGGCAGCAAGUUCGCGAGGACAAGCAAAUCCCAUAAACCGUGGCUCAGUUCAGAUCGUAGGCUGCAACUCGCCUACGUGAAGGCGGAAUCGCUAGUAAUCGCAGGU